CUGUCUUUAAAAUUGCUUAUUAUUAUUAUUAUUAUUAUUAUUAUUAUUAUUAUUAUUAAUUCUUAAAAUCUCAUGUGUAGGGGGCUUUUGCCUAUGUGUGUGCCUGUGCUCUUCCUGGAUGCCUGGUAUCUGAGGAGUCUAGAAGAGUGCAUCAGUUUCCCUGGAACUGAAGCUACAGACGGUUGUGAACCUCCAUAGUGGGAGCUGGACCUAUAUUGGACUGCAAAAUGGAAGCCAUGUGUUAAAAGUGAGAGCAUAGUCAAACAUCGUUGAGUUGGUGCCACCUGUCUCAACACAUAUCUAAAGUAAUACCAGACCUGAACAUUUAACAGAAAAGUGCUCUGACUUCCUGGCCUAAAAACAAAUGUGCUUUUUGCAAGUGGCUAUUAGAAUACCAGGUCCUCCAGCCAAUAGCAACUUACCAGAAAUCUUCAAUUUGGGGGCUGGGUGUUAAGAAUACAAAAUAAAUAUAUUUGCUUUCCUAGUUGAGGUUGCUCAUUGACUAGUUUUGGGUGGAACCUUUCUGGGUCACAAGGGACCUUCUUUGUAAGCUUCAAUGAGAGUGCCUUAACUUAAAGAUGGAAUGAUCUCAAGUUCUCCCAUUAGUAACUAAGGUCUAGUAAUGUUUUCGUGCCAACUCAUUAGAAUUACAAAUUGAAUGCCAAAUACAGUUCAUGGCUUAGAGAAUUCUCUCAGAAAUUCUUUGAUCCCAGGAA
This 716-nucleotide long non-coding RNA is filed under the name Cricetulus griseus (Chinese hamster). RNAcentral describes it as "lncRNA (ENSCGRG00015034787.1)". The record is from RNAcentral. Lineage: Eukaryota; Metazoa; Chordata; Mammalia; Rodentia; Cricetidae.